AAAGUUAAUAAGGGCGCACGGUGGAUGCCUUGGCAUUAAGAGCCGAAGAAGGACGUGACUAACGACGAUAUUCUAGGGGGAGCAGUAAGUACGCAUUGAUCCCUAGGUCUCCGAAUGGGGAAACCCACUAUGUUAUGCAUAGUAUCCGUAAGUGAAUACAUAGCUUACGCGAAGGUAACGCAGAGAACUGAAACAUCUAAGUACCUGCAGGAAGAGAAAGUAAAAACGAUUUCCUAAGUAGCGGCGAGCGAACGGGAAACAGGCCAAACCAAGAAGCUUGCUUCUUGGGGUUGUAGGACUGCAACGUGGACUUAAAGUCUAUAGAAGAAUUACCUGGGAAGGUAAGCCAAAGAGAGUAAUAGCCUCGUAUUUGAAAUAGACUUUAUACCUAGCAGUAUCCUGAGUAGGGCUGGACACGCGAAAUCCAGUUUGAAUCCGGGAGGACCAUCUCCCAAGCCUAAAUACUCCUUAAUGACCGAUAGUGAACCAGUACCGUGAGGGAAAGGUGAAAAGAACCCCGGGAGGGGAGUGAAAUAGCACCUGAAACCGUGUGCCUACAAGAAGUUCGAGCCCGUCAAUGGGUGAGAGCGUGCCUUUUGUAGAAUGAACCGGCGAGUUACGUUAUGAUGCGAGGUUAAGCUGAAGAGGCGGAGCCGUAGCGAAAGCGAGUCUGAAUAGGGCGCUUUAGUAUCAUGAUGUAGACCCGAAACCUAGUGACCUAUCCAUGAGCAGGUUGAAGGUGCGGUAAGACGCACUGGAGGACCGAACCAGGACACGUUGAAAAGUGUUUGGAUGACUUGUGGAUAGCGGAGAAAUUCCAAACGAACUGGGAGAUAGCUGGUUCUCUCCGAAAUAGCUUUAGGGCUAGCGUCGCAAUUUAAGUGUAUUGGAGGUAGAGCACUGUUUGGAUGAGGGGCCCAUCUCGGGUUACCAAUUUCAGAUAAACUCCGAAUGCUAAUACACAUGUGCGGCAGUCAGACUGCGAGUGCUAAGAUCCGUAGUCGAAAGGGAAACAGCCCAGACCACCAGCUAAGGUCCCAAAAUAUAUGUUAAGUGGAAAAGGAUGUGGGGUUGCACAGACAACUAGGAUGUUAGCUCAGAAGCAGCUAUCAUUCAAAGAGUGCGUAAUAGCUCACUAGUCGAGUGACCCUGCGCCGAAAAUGUACCGGGGCUAAACAUAUUACCGAAGCUGUGGAUUUAAUAUUAAUUAAAUGGUAGGAGAGCGUUGUAAUCAGCGAUGAAGGUAUACCGUGAGGGGUGCUGGAGCGAUUACAAGUGAGAAUGCCGGUAUGAGUAGCGCAAGAUAAGUGAGAAUCUUAUCCACCGUAAGACUAAGGUUUCCAGGGGAAGGCUCGUCCGCCCUGGGUUAGUCGGGACCUAAGGCGAGGCCGAAAGGCGUAGUCGAUGGACAACAGGUUGAUAUUCCUGUACUAGUAUUGUUAGUGAUGGAGGGACGCAGUAGGCUAAAGGGAGCCAGUUAAUGGAUUCUGGUCUAAGCAGUGAGGUGUGGAAUGUGUCAAAUGCAUUUUCCUUUAACAUUGAGCUGUGAUGGGGAAGCAACUACGGUUGCGAAGCCCUUGAUGUCACACUGCCAAGAAAAUCUUCUAGCGUUUAAUUCAAUACUACCCGUACCGCAAACCGACACAGGUAGUCGAGGCGAGUAGCCUCAGGUGAUCGAGAGAACUCUCGUUAAGGAACUCGGCAAAAUGACCCCGUAACUUCGGGAGAAGGGGUGCUGUAGAAAUACAGCCGCAGUGAAAAGAUCCAAGCAACUGUUUAUCAAAAACACAGCUCUCUGCUAAACCGCAAGGUGAUGUAUAGGGGGUGACGCCUGCCCGGUGCUGGAAGGUUAAGAGGAGGGGUUAGACAUUAGUCGAAGCUCUGAAUUGAAGCCCCAGUAAACGGCGGCCGUAACUAUAACGGUCCUAAGGUAGCGAAAUUCCUUGUCGGGUAAGUUCCGACCCGCACGAAAGGCGUAAUGAUUUGGAUACUGUCUCAACGAGAGACUCGGUGAAAUUUUAGUACCUGUGAAGAUGCAGGUUACCCGCGACAGGACGGAAAGACCCCAUGGAGCUUUACUGCAGAUUGAUAUUGAGUACCUGUGAAGCAUGUACAGGAUAGGUAGGAGACUUUGACCUUGGGACGCUAGUUUCAAGUGAGUCGCUGUUGGGAUACUACCCUUGCUUCAUGGUUGCUCUAACCCACACGCAUAAUCGGCGUGGGAGACAGUGUCUGUCGGGCAGUUUGACUGGGGCGGUCGCCUCCUAAAGAGUAACGGAGGCGCCCAAAGGUUCCCUCAACAUGGUUGGAAAUCAUGUGUAGAGUGUAAAGGUAUAAGGGAGCUUGACUGCGAGAGCUACAACUCGAGCAGGUAGGAAACUAGGGCUUAGUGAUCCGGUGGUACCGCAUGGAAGGGCCAUCGCUCAACGGAUAAAAGCUACCCUGGGGAUAACAGGCUUAUCUCCCCCAAGAGUCCACAUCGACGGGGAGGUUUGGCACCUCGAUGUCGGCUCAUCGCAUCCUGGGGCUGUAGUCGGUCCCAAGGGUUGGGCUGUUCGCCCAUUAAAGCGGCACGCGAGCUGGGUUCAGAACGUCGUGAGACAGUUCGGUCCCUAUCCGUCGCGGGCGUAGGAAAUUUGAGAGGAUCUGCCCUUAGUACGAGAGGACCGGGGUGGACUUACCGCUGGUGUACCAGUUGUUCCGCCAGGAGCACCGCUGGGUAGCUAUGUAGGGAAGGGAUAAGCGCUGAAAGCAUCUAAGUGCGAAGCCCACCUCAAGAUGAGAUUUCCCAUUCUUUAUGAAUUAAGAGCCCUGAGAGAUGAUCAGGUUGAUAGGCUGGAAGUGGAAGUCCUGCGAGGGAUGGAGCGGACCAGUACUAAUAGCUCGAGGACUUUA
This 2895-nucleotide ribosomal RNA is filed under the name Lactococcus garvieae. Its description in RNAcentral is "Bacterial large subunit ribosomal RNA". It matches the Rfam family "Bacterial large subunit ribosomal RNA". Lineage: Bacteria; Bacillati; Bacillota; Bacilli; Lactobacillales; Streptococcaceae. The record is from RNAcentral.